Non-coding RNA from Myodes glareolus (Bank vole), 700 nucleotides. NCBI's taxonomy places the organism in Eukaryota, Metazoa, Chordata, Mammalia, Rodentia, Cricetidae. The record is from RefSeq and is a predicted model, not a curated record.
AAGCGCACAUGUGAUUGAAGGGCUGCCUAAUGUGAUUGGUCAGAAACACACAGGUGAUUGAAGGACUUCCCUUAUGGGUCUUGCUAGGAUGGGGGAGCUUCUGAAACCAGAGGUUGUGAGGCAUGUGGUUAGAUUGUGAACUGUCCCCCAGAGACUCCUGUGUUUGGACACUUGGACCCCGAUUGGUGGUGCUGUUUGGGAAAGCUAUAGAAGGUUAAGCUUCUGUGGAGGCAGUGAAUGGCUCAUGGGCAGCUUGUACCCCAGACCUGUAAGCCGAAAUCAACCCUUCCUCAGGCUGAUAACUUCUUCCCAGGUGUUUGUUCAUAUCAACAGGAAAAGUAGCUGGCGCAGAGACCACAGAUGCCAUCUUUCCGCACCACCAGGCAUCCAUCACGCGGGAUCAGCCGGGAGCGGCCGGUGAGGCGGCGUGAAUGCACCGCUAAUUAUCACCGAAAUGAACAAACCCGGCAGGAUUAUGAUUUCAUCUUCUGCCCUUCUCACUACCGGCUCCGCCCCAGUCUACGUGCGUCUUUUCAUGGAGAUGGCUGUUGGUGGAAAGCGCUCAGGAGGCUGCGGCCAUUGGCCGAGUGGCAUCUCUGCAGGCACUUGCAGGCUGGGUGCUGCUGCUGGUGGUGGCCAAGUUGAGUGAGCAGUGUGGGAGCCCACUGCCUGCCUCUAAACUUAUAGCCUGCUGUUAUGU